This 519-nucleotide ribosomal RNA is filed under the name uncultured eukaryote. RNAcentral describes it as "SSU rRNA". It matches the Rfam family "Eukaryotic small subunit ribosomal RNA", at positions 1161 to 1704 of the family's 1831-position model. The record is from RNAcentral.
AGGGCACCACCAGGAGUGGAGCCUGCGGCUUAAUUUGACUCAACACGGGAAAACUCACCCGGCCCGGACACCGUAAGGAUUGACAGACUGAGAGCUCUUUCUUAAUUCGGUGGGUGGUGGUGCAUGGCCGUUCUUAGUUGGUGGAGCGAUUUGUCUGGUUAAUUCCGAUAACGAACAAGACUCUGGCCUAUUAAAUAGACGAUAUAUAUAGAAGUAUAUCGCGCUUCUUAGAGGGACAAGCGGCGUCUAGCCGCAUGAAAUAGAGCAAUAACAGGUCUGUGAUGCCCUUAGAUGUCCGGGGCUGCACGCGCGCUACACUGAAAGAAUCAGCGUGCGAAUAACCUAGUCCGGAAGGACCGGGUAACCCAAGUAAAUUCUUUCGUGCUUGGGAUAGGGAAUUGCAAUUAUUUCCCUUAAACGAGGAAUUCCCAGUAAGUGCGAGUCAUAAGCUCGCGUUGAUUACGUCCCUGCCCUUUGUACACACCGCCCGUCGCUACUACCGAUUGGAUGACUUAGUGA